GGUUCCGCGCCCCGGCUGCUCCCGGGCGGGGCCUCGGGUAACGCCAGCUUUGAAUAGGCGACCUUGCGUACUUAGGGUUCCGUCUCUUCGCAGGCAAGCAUUGAAAGCAGCCCGCAAGCGUCACCGGGCUUGUGUGUGUGGAGUGGCGCCUCGUGAGCAGCCGCGAGGUUUUCUUCCAGGACAGGCCUGGCGAGCCCGUCAGCUGCUGGGGCUGUGGGAGGAAGUGGUGAGAGCAGCUGGGGCAGGGAAGUUAAAUCAGCCCGGUGGAGGUCUGUGCCUAGACGGUACAGCAGCAGGGAACCAACUUUACCCAACAGCACCGGAAAGAUCUAACAGAGGCUGUUUUAAAGAAAUCAGCGUUUAAGGAUGAAAACCAGGCAUUCCCUGAAAAGCAGG
This is a long non-coding RNA of Apus apus (common swift), 396 nucleotides long. RefSeq lists it as uncharacterized. The record is from RefSeq and is a predicted model, not a curated record. The transcript has 3 exons. NCBI's taxonomy places the organism in Eukaryota, Metazoa, Chordata, Aves, Apodiformes, Apodidae.